GACGAACGCUGGCGGCGUGCUUAACACAUGCAAGUCGAACGGAAAGGCCCUGCUUUUGUGGGGUGCUCGAGUGGCGAACGGGUGAGUAACACGUGAGUAGCCUGCCCUUGACUUUGGGAUAACUUCAGGAAACUGGGGCUAAUACCGGAUAGGAGCUCCUGCUGCAUGGUGGGGGUUGGAAAGUUUCGGCGGUUGGGGAUGGACUCGCGGCUUAUCAGCUUGUUGGUGGGGUAGUGGCUUACCAAGGCUUUGACGGGUAGCCGGCCUGAGGGGGUGACCGGCCACAUUGGGACUGAGAUACGGCCCAGACUCCUACGGGAGGCAGCAGUGGGGAAUAUUGCACAAUGGGCGGAAGCCUGAUGCAGCAACGCCGCGUGCGGGAUGACGGCCUUCGGGUUGUAAACCGCUUUCGCCUGUGACGAAGCGUGAGUGACGGUAAUGGGUAAAGAAGCACCGGCUAACUACGUG
This 468-nucleotide ribosomal RNA is filed under the name uncultured bacterium. RNAcentral describes it as "partial 16S ribosomal RNA". It matches the Rfam family "Bacterial small subunit ribosomal RNA", at positions 28 to 507 of the family's 1533-position model. The record is from RNAcentral.